UGUCGCAGACGAACCUGAAGGCUCUUAUUGAGCACAGAAACCUGGAGCCAAUCCUGUCAUUUUAGUCACCAGAAGUGCAAAGAUGCUGUUAUCUCCAUUCAUUUAAAAAAUAAAAUAAAACAGCCACCAGUUCCUAACCAGCUUCUGCCAUCUCUCACUUUUUCCCAAAUGUUUGUCAACAUCUUUCAUAACAUGACAUCCAUUUGGACCAGCACCAUUUGUUGAAGAUGAAACAACCCAGAUGUCCAUCAAUGAAGGCAUGGAUACAGAAAUUGUGGUAUUUUUACACAACGGAAUACUAGUCAGCAAUCAAAAAUGAGAAAAUAAUGAAAUUUGCAGGCAAAUGGUGGGAUCUAGUAAAGAUCAUUCUGAGUGAGUAUCCCAGAAGGUGAAAGACAAACAUGGUAAAUACUCGCUUAUAUAGACCUACAAGAUAUAAUAAACAUAAUGAAGUCUAUACACCUAAAGAAGAUAAACAAGAAAGCGGACACGGGGUAAGCUGAUCAAUCCUCACUUAGAAAGACAAAUGGGAUGUGCAUUGGACAUAUGACAGGAAUCUAUUGCAGAAGGCAUCUGAAAGACUCUACCUAGCAGUGUUUCAAAGCAGAUACUAAG
Long non-coding RNA from Meriones unguiculatus (Mongolian gerbil), 615 nucleotides. RefSeq lists it as uncharacterized. The transcript has 3 exons. The record is from RefSeq and is a predicted model, not a curated record. Lineage: Eukaryota; Metazoa; Chordata; Mammalia; Rodentia; Muridae.